AUAAUAAAUAUGAACUACGGUAACCUUAAAAUGGAGACACCUAAGGUAUAAAUAGGUGUACUUUUAAAUGUUAAGACACAGAGGAGAGACUUGGAGACAGACGCUGCUCCAUCUUAAAAUGACAGAGAGGCUGACAUGAUGACAUGUUCAGAAGGGUAUGUUAACCUAUUAAUGAUAUUUGCAAGCAUGUAAUUUAAUCUUAUAAACUCUGCU
This is a non-coding RNA of Pelobates cultripes (western spadefoot toad), 213 nucleotides long. NCBI's taxonomy places the organism in Eukaryota, Metazoa, Chordata, Amphibia, Anura, Pelobatidae. The record is from the annotation of a GenBank genome assembly.